UGCCUGGUGGUCCUGUGACUAAGAUUCUGCACUCUCAAUGCAGGGAGCCCAGGUUCAAUCCCUGAUCAGGGAA
RNAcentral lists this transfer RNA (73 nucleotides) under Ovis aries (sheep). It matches the Rfam family "tRNA". Rfam says of the family: Transfer RNA (tRNA) molecules are approximately 80 nucleotides in length. Their secondary structure includes four short double-helical elements and three loops (D, anti-codon, and T loops). Lineage: Eukaryota; Metazoa; Chordata; Mammalia; Artiodactyla; Bovidae. The record is from Rfam by way of RNAcentral.